AUGAGUAACAUGCUUAGCCCGAUCAUGUGCUGGAACGUCCGCGACCUAAACAACCCGGCGAAGCGAGCAUCGGUUUGUGAGAUGGCCACCACACACAAAGCGGCAAUCUUCUGCCUACAAGAAACUAAAAUUGAGGUCUGGACACCCAACCUAGUGCGUGAGAUAGGAGGUGCCCUGCUGCAAGACUGCAUAGCUCUGCCGGCGAUCGGCACCUGCGGCGGAGCGGCAAUUCUCUGGAACAGAGAUGUAGUUUCAGUAGACUCCCAUGCGAUCGGCAUCUUUGCGAUCAUGGCUAAGGUCAAAUGGCACGGGCAGCAGGAAGGUUUUUGGCUUUCCUCUGUCUACGGACCUGCUGACGAUGCAAGAAAGGAGGCCUUCCUCCUCGAGCUCUCCCGUACUGCACCACCAACCCCAGAGCCAUGGCUGAUAAAUGGGGAUUUCAACCUCAUCUAUGAAGCCCGCGACAAGAACAAUCUAAACCUCAACCGACGACUAAUGGGUAGAUUUAGAUCGGCGAUCGACCACGCGGGACUGAAGGAAAUAAAAUGCAAAAACAGACGCUACACUUGGAGCAAUGAACGUGAUGAUCCAACUCUUGUUAGUAUAGACAAGUUUUUCUGCAACCAAGCAUGGGAGUCACUCUUCCCCUCCUUCUUGCUAGUAGUUGCAUCCACUGCAACUUCAGACCACUGCCCCCUGAUUUUAGCCGACGCCAGUGCCCCGCCACGCCGAGCAAAUUUUAAAUUUGAAAAUUUCUGGCCCAAGUUCCCGCGGUUCAUGGAGACAGUGGAGAGGGCCUAG
This 801-nucleotide ribosomal RNA is filed under the name Triticum aestivum (bread wheat). Its description in RNAcentral is "partial small subunit ribosomal RNA". Lineage: Eukaryota; Viridiplantae; Streptophyta; Magnoliopsida; Poales; Poaceae. The record is from RNAcentral.